GGUGGUUCUACGUGAUGGUGGUUCUGUCUGAUGGUGGUUCUGUCUGAUGGUGGUUCUGUCUGAUGGUGGUUCUACGUGAUGGUGGUUCUGUCUGAUGGUGGUUGUCCCUGCAGUGGUCCUGCACAAAUAAAUACACAAAGACACAGAACUUGCUUCGCUCCCUUUGAGACAAUAUUGAUGGAAUCUCCUCUGCCUUCACGGUGCGUUCACCCCAAAAGCGAAGCGCCUGGAAGGGGGCGUGGCUUAUCUCCGUCACGUGGCUCCGUAAAGACACUUAACGUUUCCGCCAUGGACGCGCGUCUGGAUGACUGCGGCUUCAGGCGGACCAGCAGCCGGUCUGAUGACCCGCUGUGUCGAGACCGCUUGGCUGGAGGACCAGCCCCGGUCCACCGCGAAGGCUGCAGGGAUGCGUCUCAAGCGCCGAGUCACGCAGACCACACAAACCUGGUUGAAAGUAAAGCUUUAAUAGCAGGAUGCUCCGGUGUUUCCUAUGCUGAAGCAGCUAAGUAA
Molecule: long non-coding RNA, 510 nt
Organism: Gasterosteus aculeatus (three-spined stickleback)
Lineage: Eukaryota; Metazoa; Chordata; Actinopteri; Perciformes; Gasterosteidae
Source: Ensembl